CCACUGCAAACUGAACGCUUCUUCUUCCUCCGCCACUCCACGCACAGUAACGCCACCGCAAUCACUCCCGGCGCCAUGACUCCGCCCCUGCCCCUUCCGUUUUUCCCCAAUCAAGGGCUCUACUUCAAUCCCCUGCAUUUCCCCAUAUUUAAAUCUCCUCUCCCCCUGCAGCUAGUUCUUUUCUCCUCCCCUCUACAAGCAGAUCCUGCCACAACCUAGGGCACCGUCGACGCCAGUCCUUUCGUCCGUCGCUGGACAGGUAAUCACCGUCCUCUGGAUCGCUGCAGUGCUCCCGUUUCAUUUUUGUCAUCACCCUACACACACGAUUAUCCUAUCUCCGGCGAACACCUACACCUGAACUCACCUCUCUUCUUUUGUAGUCAGCGACUGGGUUAGUUUAGAAGGUGUAGUCCCUGGACCUGUUUAGGAUAGGCUACAGAAGCACUUAGGGCCCUUGUGUAGCAGUACUUGUUUUGUUCACCAAGAUUAUUGGCAGCUCAAAAUCUGCAGGUGUGUUUAGUGGUAGUUUUUUUUUUUCAGUUUGGAACCGCUGUUAUUAUAUUCAUGGCAUCCUCUCUUUCUUUUUUUUCUUUCAGUCUGUACCUACAGCAUGAAGUUCAGAUUGUAUGGUGGAGCACCUGCACAUGUAGUUUAAUCCAAAUUUGGUCUCAACUGUUUUGCUAUUGCUCAAUGCUUCCAUCAAUGCAUAUUCUGUAAUUAUUUACCAUCAAGUUUCAGAUUUGUGUAGUUGGUAGAUACUUCACUGUAGGUUUCAGCAUACUAAUGUUUCUAGUUCAGUAGCACAUAUCAGGUUAGAAGCUGCAAGCUGAUUUGUUUCAUUAGCAUGAAUUUCUACAUGUAUGUAUGGAUUUUUCCUUCAUAUCCAGUGGAUGUAUAUGGCUGUUUGUGAAUCUGUUACAGUGGUUGUACAGUCUCAGUUUAUCUCCUAUGCAGCGGAUACCAUAUUGAGGAGUAGUUCGGUCGUAUAUUUUGUCUCUCUCCCUGCUGUAUGUCAACUAAUUGUUGACUAAUUGUUUAGUUGAUGCACUGUUUCAUCUAGCAUGCAUAAUUGUUCAGUUGCUGCACUAUUGUUGUUUCACAUACAUGAGCUUUUCAGUGACUAAUACAGUUAGCAGGUUGUAUGUGCUUUGGUGCUAGCAAAUUCAGUUUUACUCUACUGUACUCAAUCUGAUACAUGUCACUGUACCUCCUGUGCUAGUAGAAAUGCAGUGUUGUUAUUCUUUUAGUUACAUGCUUGCCCAGUUUGCCAUAUAGAUUCUGCUAUACUAGUGCUUGUGCUAGAAAGGCAUAAUUGUGUUUGUAGCUUCAAAAUCAUCUUUCUGCUGUUUAAAUUAUAUUAGAGAAACCCUGUUCUUCCAUGGAGCUGUGUAUCAAUUAUUGAGUUUUGCAUACUGUUUGCAUCUUGCUUAGCUGAGAAAGAAACUAGUGUUUAAAUUGUUGGAUGCUUCACAUGCUUAGAGCAGUAGCUAUUCUACUCUCUUUUCCUUAGGGUAAGAUCAUGCUUGCUGUACUCUUGAGUUCUUAGAUUAAAUUGGAGCAUACAAGCUUGUGUAUUAAGGUUAUAUGGGAGGGUAUCAUUAUAUAUACUAUGGUUAAGGACACUAGGAGGCCAGCAUAAAGGAUUCUCUAGUUCCACACUCUCUUGCUAUUCCACGACUCGGAGACACACUCUGUGUAUCACCCUAUUCAUUCCAAAUUGGUUCAUGUGUUUAUCUCGCUUUCUUUCAGACUCUUCUUUUGGAUUCUUUAUUGGAGUUGUUUAUUUAUUUGGUGGCGAUUUAUUUUUAUGACGAAUAGGGAGUGACGGGAACGACCACACCCAGGGCCACGAAGGAGAAGAACAGUACCCCGACAACGAAGGCAUGCCCCCCCCCCCCUCUCUCUUUGAUCAUAUUUAUCCUAUGUUUUCAAAUGGGCAUUGGUUAGCUAUUUUAUUGUUUUAUAAACAUGCAUGCUACUUAUUUCUUGUAGCUAGUGUGUCGAUUGACACUUGGCCAUGAUCUGCUUGUCGCCAUUCCUUUGAUACCUGGAGUCGUUUAUAUAGUAUUCUUGUAGAGUAGAAAUGCUUAGCCUUGUUCAUAUUAUUCAUUAGGAAUCACUCUUUUGCCUCUUCGAGGAUUCUAUGUGAUCUUUGGAUCGAUGAUACAUUGUUGAAAGUUGUUGUGGAUGUUGUUCCCUCUUCUUGGAAUCCCCUUCUACUCUCUCUACCUACUCUGGGUGAAACUUACCAUACAACUGGUGCGGGCGGCAGCUGGAUCAUUGGUUGAAGGAGCAAUUGUUAGCCUAUGUGGGAGCAAAUAGCCGCUCGUAGCAGAUGAGGCCUAAUAAUAAGUCUUGAAUCUGAAGAUUGUGACAACAGUGCGACCACAUGCUAUAUGGGCUCUGGCUUGGUCAAGUAAGCUAGUCAGCCUUAGGUGUCGAUGAUGCCGUACCGCAAAUGGGGUGUCACCUGAGAUGGGAGAACCCUCGGCACAGAUGGGGGGACCGGAGAUGGGGACGUACUCAUUCCGUGCGCCAGACCCGGUGGGCUCGUCACAUCUUUGGGGGAGGUAGCUAAAAGACCUCGUCAUGGUCUCUGGCUUGGUCAAGUAAGCUAGUCAGCCUUAGGUGUCGAUGAUGCCGUACGCAAAUGGGGUGUCACCUGAGAUGGGAGAACCCUCGGCACAGAUGGGGGGACCGGAGAUGGGGACGUACUCAUUCCGUGCGCCAGACCCGGUGGGCUCGUCACAUCUUUGGGGGAGGUAGCUAAAAGACCUCGUCAUGGUCUCGCUGUCGAUACACUGAGGAUUGUGUUCAUCAGUAGCGCAACUGGUUAGGCACAAGGCGAGAUCAUGUCGUGUGGGUACAACGUACAACCUCUGCAGAGUGUAAAACUAUUCGAAUAGCCGUGUCCACGGUCAUGGACGGCACAUGAUACUUUCUUGACAUACGGGACCUGUCUUCUUUCCCUUCCUUCCUCCCUCUCUAACUUCUUGCUGGAACUGAGGAUUUGGGUGAGUGGUCGAGGACCCUCACGUUGUUGGAUAAUGCUUUUGAGAUAAACUUGAUUUUAUCAAAACCGCCUUCAUCAAAAGUAUAGUUGUAUUUCAAACAAAACCGCUUUUAUGCAAAAGAAUCAUAUAGCCUUCCUUUGAAGCCAACAUGCAGUUAUCAGGGUUCCCAGAGGGGGCACGCUGAGUACGUAAUGUACUCAUUGCGAUGGUUUGUUGUUGUCGUUAUUGUACAGAGUACUAUGAAGAAGAAGACGUUGACGGCGACUACUACGGUGAACCUGAGGAGUGAGGCCUCGUGUGCUACAUCGACUGCCUGUGGCUGAGAUGGAGGCACCAUGCGUCGUUUAUUGUUUUCUGCUACUAUUUCAGACUUGUAAUAAUAAUGCCCCAAGACAUUGCUUUAUGUAAGCCGAAGGGCAUUUUACUAUUCAAACUUUGUAUUAACUUUUGAACUGUCGUGCAACGAGAUACAUUUCGCAUGUACAUUAGCAUUCCUGGGCUAGUGUUACAUGGGGUCUAGGAGUUUGUUUCCUGGUUCUCACAGAAGUGGUAUCAGAGCCGACGUCGACCUAGCAUCGUGGCCUUAGAUAGAAUGGAAAAGCCUUAAGGACUUAUUUUGGGAAAACUCUAUUUAUAAAAAAUAUAUUAAGCUUCUUUGCUGUUACUUUCCCAGUCAUUUAGUUAUUUUAAAAAAAUGUUGCUGAUUUCCUUACCUAUUUCAAAUGUGUGUAGAGGAUCCCUCCACGACGGACUUAGCAAGCCUUGGUUUCCUUGGUCAAGAGUUGCGGGACAUGCUGUACUACCUGCACUUUGACCGAGACCCUGAGAUCCACGCAGAGGACCGACGGACGGUGGAGGGUGACGCAUUUGUCAGAGUCACCAUCUGGGUGUUUCCACGCCGAGAACAACCCAGAGGCCCCCACCGAAGCAUUGCCGCUGGGGAGGACUUCGAGGAUGCUAGCAUCAACGCCAUCCAUCAGAUGCUACACAGGCUCGGUGGAUUAUACCAGGACGAGCUGCAUGGCACACCGAUCCGCCACUUCGCCUUCCGUAGGGAGGGAGGACCCCUGCAGCUGAGCCAGUACCUUCGCACGGAGACCAAUCCGACGGUCCUUCACAUGACUAGGUACUCGUACGGAUUGGAGGGACGGCUACUCACCACCUCCGGUAUGUUGCGUGACAUGCAUGCUCGCCUUCAGCACAACCGUCGCCGCAUGGAGAUUCUGGAGGAGAGGCUUGUUGAGGCAAACACGGCCUUGGUUGCUGCCCAAGCAGCGGCACACAACGCAGAGGCUGCUGCCAAGGAGGCCAUCAACAACACCAACGAUCAGGCUCAGGCAGCGAUCGAAGCCAACAAUACCAUGGCGGAGGUGGCUGUUCAUGCUGCCCAAGAACAGGCUCAACAUGCCGCUGCAGCAGCAUAGAGGGAAAGGGAUCGCGUUAUAGCACGACGUCGGAGGAACUACUACCUAGAGCACGGGAGACGCAGCAUCGCGAGGAGUGCUCCUGUGCCAAGGAGACGCCGCCUCACUCUCCGGGCGAUUGUUUCACCGCCCCUUGCACUGCCAGCUCCACCAACACCACUUGCAGUGCAGCCACCAACCGUGGAGGACUCCCAGGAGGAGGAGAUUGAGCUAGAGGAGGUGAUACCAGCCACACCGGAGCCACCGGAGCCUCGUUUUGAGCUGCACUUUGUGUCAGCCGUGGACUACCCUUACCCUUAGAGAGGUGACAGUUUCUAGAGGAGUAAGAGCCUGUAGUGUCCCACUCUUGGGAGAGCUAUGCUAAAAAUAAACUUUAGUUAUUUUCUUGGAUGAUUAUGUGUCGUAGCAGACUAUACCGACCCCUUGUGGUAUAGUUCCUACUUUAUCUUACAAUUGUAUGCAUCGGUUUAUUUGGAGUUAAUGAAAUGUUUUAUGGAUUUUCCAAUCGCUUGUUGUUUAUGCUUUGUUUAAGGGUUAAGAAUUUUUUCCCUCUUGUCUAUUUUAAUCCUUGAAGCGAUCCACAGGAUGAAUGCCAACUGCGGAGGACGUGGAGGCCGAGGCCGAGGUCGUGGAGGCCGUGGCCGUGGUCGUGGUAGAGGACCAGCUUUUGAGGAUCCAAACUUUGAGGAGGACUUUGAGAAUGAAGAGGAACAUGAACAAGAACAAGAACAAGAACCUAAUGGAGGAGAAGACACACCACCACAACCACCUAACUGGCAGCAAAUGAUGUUGAUGCAAACUCAGAUCCUGCAGCAGUUGGCAGCCAAUGUUGGUAAUCAGAAUCAGGGGCACAACAACAAUCAGUCCAGGCUUGCUGAAUUCAUGAGGACGUAGCCACCUACCUUUGAAGGUUCAGCAGACCCUCUUGAUGCUGAUGACUGGUUGAAGGACAUACAAAGGAAGCUCAACUUGGCAAAUUGCAAUGGGGCUGAUCGAGUCAAGUUCGCGGCGCACCAGUUCAAAGGUGUGGCUGCAGAUUGGUGGGAGAACUGCUAUGAUGCACAUGAGGAUGCCCAAAGUAUCACGUGGAAUGAGUUCUCUGAAGCUUUCCGUAUUGCUCACAUCCCUGCGGGCAUUAUGGAGUUGAAGAGAGAUGAAUUUAGAGCUUUGGUUCAGGGAAAAAUGUCUGUGACAGAAUAUUUGAGCAAGUUCACACAGUUGGCUCGCUAUGGAAGGGCUGAUAUUCCAACCGAGGCAGAUAGGACAGCAAGGUUUUUGAAGGGGUUGAACCCAGGGCUGAAGGACAGGCUAGUCUCCCAUGACUUUCCCACUUUUCAGCAUCUUGUCAACAAAGCUAUCCUGCAGGAAAACUCUAGGAGAGAACUUGAGGAGCAUCGCAAGCGCCGUGCACCACAAGGUCAUUCUGGGGCAAGUAGCUCUCGCCAGAAAACAAGCCAGCAUCCAGGCUAUCGUGUGCAAAAACCUUCAAGGCCAAGCAACAACUCAGCACCUCGCAACAUGUACAAGACUCCUAGAGCCGAAGUGGGAGGACAGCACGCUAACACCGCUGCGAAUGUUUGCUACAAAUGUGGGGCAGAAGGGCACUUCGCGAGGGAAUGUCCUAACGGGAAGGCCGGGCUGACGCCAGUGAAGUUCAACUUGGAUUCUGCCACAAAGACUCCAGCCGCAGGCCGAGGGCGCGGUAUACUCCAAACACCGGGGAGUGGAUCGCGUAUACUAAUUCAGGCAGGACGUGGUCGAGUCAACCAUGUUACUAUUGAGGAAGCUCAGGAGGCACCAGAUGUCGUUAUUGGUAUGUUCCCAAUCAACUCAUGUUAUGGUUUAGUACUUUUUGAUUCUGGAGCUUCCCAUUCGUUUAUUUCAAGGUCUUUUGCUAAAAACCACAACUUUCAUAUUGAGGUUAUGAGUUCGCAACUAUUGGUACAAACACCUGGGGGAGUUAUAAGGGCUGGGUUGAGAUGUCCAAAAGUGAUCCUAGUGAUUGAAGGAGUAGAAUUUCUAGCAAAUCUCAUCUUGUUAGACUCUAAAGGUUUGGAUGUCAUCUUGGGAAUGAAUUGGCUGAGUAAACACAAGGCUAAGAUAGACCGUGGCGCUGGGUCUAUAUUAUUGACUGAUGAUAUAGGGACCAUGGUGGAAUUCAAGCCCAAUACCCCAUCUCAUCCUGAGACAAAAGCGACGCUGCAUAGUAUGAAGGAGUUAGAGGUCGGAGAUGUUCGUGUGGUGAAUGAGUACCAAGACGUCUUUCUAGAAGAAUUGCCCGGUCUACCACCAGACCGUGAGAUUGAGUUUGCCAUUGAGUUAGUGCCAGGCACCGCUCCUAUUGCAAAGAGACCUUACAGAAUGCCGGCUAAUGAGCUAGCUGAGAUGAAGAAACAAAUCCAAGAACUAGAAGAAAAUGGCUACAUUAGACCGAGCACCUCACCUUGGGGAGCGCCGGUAUUGUUUGUGAAGAAGAAAGAUGGCAGCAUGCGCAUGUGUGUGGAUUAUCGUGCUCUAAACGAGGUGACUAAAGAAUAAAUAUCCUUUGCCAAGGAUUGAUGAUUUGUUCGAUCAACUGAAGGAAGCCACUAUAUUUUCAAAGAUAGAUCGCAGAUCAGGAUACCAUCAGUUAAAGAUUAGACCAAAAGAUGUGCCAAAAACAGCUUUUGUUACCCGCUAUGGUCUGUACGAGUUCUUGGUGAUGUUCUUUGGGUUGACGAAUGCACCUGCAUACUUCAUGAAUCUUAUGAACAAAGUAUUCAUGGACUGCCUAGACAAGUUUGUAGUGGUAUUCAUCGAUGAUGUGUUAAUCUACUCACGAAAUGAAGAAGAGCAUGAGAAGCACCUUCGAGUGGUAUUGGAAAGGCUAAGAGCACAUCAGCUUUAUGCCAAGUUUAGUAAGUGCGAGUUUUGGCUGGAGAAAGUGGAUUUCUUGGGACAUGUUAUCUCGGCUGAAGGCGUAGCUGUGGAUCCAUCCAAGGUUGAGUCUGUGCUUAAUUGGAAACAACCGAAGAAUAUUCCAGAGAUACGCAGUUUUCUUGGGCUUGCUGGGUAUUACCACCGUUUCAUAGAGGAUUUCUCUAGGAUUGCAAGACCCAUGACUCAGCUAAUAAAGAAAGACACAAAAUUUGACUUAAGCGCCUGUUUUAGUUCUGUCAGAUAUUCGGAAAGAUUUUGAAGUUUAUUGUGAUGCUUCCAAACAUGGGUUGGGAUGCGUGCUAAUGCAGCAAGGCAAGGUUGUGGCAUAUGCAUCGAGACAGUUGCGCCCCAUGAGGUCAACUAUCCUACACAUGACUUGGAAUUAGCUGCGGUAGUGCACGCUUUGAAGACUUGGACGCAUUAUCUCAUUGGGAAUAGUUGUGAGAUAUACACUGACCAUAAGAGCCUAAAAUAUAUAUUCACUCAACCUGAUCUAAAUUUGAGGCAGAGGAGAUGGCUAGAGCUAAUCAAAGACUACAAUCUUGGCGUGAAUUACCAUCCUGGUAAGGCCAAUGUAGUAGCUGAUGCAUUAAGUAGAAAGGUGUAUUGCAAUAACUUGAUGAUUCAGGAAGGACAACCAGAACUUCAUGAAGAAUUCAAGAAGUUGAAUCUUUACGUCGGUAUUGCUGAAAAUGAGGAUAUGCUGGAAGUGAAGUUCACGCUGGAAGAUCAAGUAAGAGAAGCUCAGAAGAAUGACAAAGACAUCGAAGAGAUUCGACAGAAUAUAAAGUUGGGGGAAGCGCCCGAUUACAAGGAGGAUGAAAUGGGAAACAUUUGGUUCAAAGAUCGUUUAUUGGUGCCAGACCAGAAGGAGAUCACGGAAAUAAUCAUGAAAGAGGCUCAUGAGUCAUCUGACUCUAUACACCCUGGCAGCACAAAAAUGUAUCAUGAUCUUCGAGGAAAUUUCUUGUGGUCUACCAUGAAGCGAGAAAUUGCCGAGUAUGUAUCUCAAUGUGAUAUAUGUCGAAGGGUCAAGGCGGAACAUCAAAAAUCCGCAGGAUUGCUUCAACCACUUGAGGUCCCCGUGUGGAAAUGGGAAGAGAUUGGAAUGGAUUUUAUCACAGGGCUUCCGAGGACAGCUUCAGGCUAUGAUUCUAUAUGGGUUGUAGUGGAUCGAUUAACCAAGUCUGCACAUUUUAUCCCUGUGAAGACUAAGUAUGGUGGCGAGACACUAGCUGAACUUUAUAUGUCCCGAAUUGUGUGCUUACAUGGAGUUCCCAAGAAGAUUGUGUCAGAUAGGGGAACACAAUUCACAUCUAGGUUCUGGAAGAAGGUACAUGAGGCACUUGGCACACAAUUGAACUUUAGCACGGCCUAUCACCCUCAAACAGAUGGCCAAACAGAGCGAGUAAAUCAAAUUUUAGAGGAUAUGCUUCGAGCAUGUGCCUUGACUAGCAGGCACAGUUGGGACAAGAGUUUACCAUAUGCAGAGUUCUCUUAUAAUAAUAGCUACCAGGCCAGCCUUCAAAUGUCACCUUUUGAAGCUUUGUAUGGAAGGAAGUGUCGCACACUUCUAAAUUGGCAUGAAGUGGGAGAAAAUCAAGUAUUUGGACCUGACACUUUGGAAGAGGCUGAUAAGCAAGUGAAGAUGAUCCGGGAUAGGUUGAGGGCAGCUCAAUCUAGGUAGAAGUCCUACUCAGAUCGGCGUCGCCAAGACUUAUCAUUUAAGAAAGGUGAUGACGUUUAUCUGAAAGUAUCACCACUUCGUGGUAUGCGUCAUUUUGGGAUCAAAGGGAAGCUAGCUCCUCGCUACAUCGGUCUGUUUGAGAUUACAGCUCGAUGUGGAGAGGUAGCCUAUGAGUUGGCACUACCAGAAAAAUUGUCCAAUGUGCACAAUGUGUUUCAUGUGUCACAACUGAAGAAGUGCUUUAAGAAGCCACAAGAGGAAGCUCAGAAAAUUGCACUAGAAAGCAUAGAGGUUCAGGAUGAUUUAACCUAUGAGGAGUAUCCUGUGAAAGUUUUGGAUGAGCAGCUACGAACCACCAGGAGAAAGGUGAUAAAGUUUUGCAAAGUGCAGUGGAGCAAUCACAGCGAGGAUGAAGCAACAUGGGAACGUGAAGAUGACCUUAGAGAGGAGUUUCCAAAUCUGUUUCCUUAGUUCUUGAAUCUCGGGGUCGAGAUUCCUUGUAAGGGGGGGUGGAGUUGUAACAACCUGAUUUUGAGUCAAUUUCUUUUUCUUUUUCAUAAGCAAGGGAUGUUACAUCAUACUCUAUGUAAAUAAAGUACAUUGGUUGGAGUUGCAGAAAUUAAUCCCAAAAGUGUUUGGGAAUUAAUUUGGCAUAGAAAAAAGGUGGAAAUAUGAUUCCUUAAUACCCUACUUUGUCUUUUGGGCUUUGAAUUAAUUUUGUCAGUUUCAUCAUGUCUAACUGGAGACGCAAACUCGUUUUCUUAGAUUUUUCUCUGGGUGAAACUUACCAUACAACUGGUGCGGGCGACAGCUGGAUCAUUGGUUGAAGGAGCAAUUGUUAGCCUGUGUGGGAGCAAUUAGCUGCCCGUAGCAGAUGAGGCCUAAUAAGUCUUGAAUCUGAAGAUUGUGACAACAGUGUGGCCACAUGCUAUAUGGGCUCUGGCUUGGUCAAGUAAGCUAGUCAGCCUUAGGUGCCGAUGAUGCCGUACCGCAAAUGGGGUGUCACCUGAGAUGGGAGAACCCUCGGCACAGAUGGGGUGUCAUGGACGGCACAUGAUACUUUCUUGACAUACGGACCUGUCUUCUUUCCCUUCCUUCCUCCCUCUCUAACUUCUUGCUGGAACUGAGGAUUUGGGUGAGUGGUCGAGGACCCUCGCGUUGUUGGAUAAUGCUUUUGAGAUAAACUUGAUUUUAUCAAAACCGUCUUCAUCAAAAGUAUAGUUGUAUUUCAAACAAAACCGCUUUUAUGCAAAAGAACCAUAUAGCCUUCCUUUGAAGCCAACAUGCAGUUAUCAGGGUUCCUAGAGGGGGCACGCUGAGUACGUAAUGUACUCAUGACGAUGGUUUGUUGUUGUCGUUGUUGUACAGAGUACCAUGAAGAAGAAUACGUUGACGGCGACUACUACGGUGAACCUGAGGAGUGAGGCCUCGUGUGCUACAUCGACUGCCUGUGGCUGAGAUGGAGGCACCACGCGUCGUUUAUUGUUUUCCGCUGCUAUUUCAAACUUGUAAUAAUAAUGCCCCAAGACAUUGCUUUAUGUAAGCCGAAGGGCAUUUUACUAUUCAAACUUGUGUUAACUUUUGAACUGUCGUGCAACGAGAUACAUUUCGCAUGUACAUUAGCAUUUCUGGUCUAGUGUUACAUGGGGUCUGGGAGUUUGUUUCCGGUUCUCACAAAAAUUGACUCAUAGGUGUUCAGUAACUUCAGUUGGCUCACCCAACUAAUGGUGAAAAUAAACUGUUAUUAGCAGUAGUACUACUAAACGGUCUACAGUAAACUAUGAUCAAUCUUGCACACCAGAUCAGAACCACGAAUGGAUAAGAUUAAGGACAUGAUUAUUCGAGGCAAAGAAAGAUAGCAAGGGCUCCUUACCAGGACACGUAGAAAGCGGGCGAGUUCCUGUUCAAAGCCGUGCCAAUCUUUAUGGUACGGAGGUAGUAAUCAUUUAAUUAAGACGCAAAACUCAGCUUUGAAAUUGGAAUUUCGCUGGACCCACACUGGAUGAGAUCUUAAUAUAGUUCAACAGAGCACACUCGCAUUUCAUAAGAUGUCGUGCUUGGAAGCUUUCGAACCUAAAUUGUUGUCGUGGUUUAAGUUCAAAUUUAAACUAAAACCACCACAAAAAUUUAGGAUUGAAGAGAGUAUACAUGAAGAUGAUAUAUUUCUUCCAUCCAACAAAAAAAUGUCUUAAGUUUGUCAAAAUUUGGAUGUAUCUAGACAUGAAUUAGUGUAUAGAUGAACUAAAAUUUUGUCGAAAUUGAGACAUCCUUUGUUGAAGGAGGGAGUACACGAUCUUAGAGCAAGUCCAGCAGCUCCCCUAAAGCCUCCCCUAUACCAAAUUUGGAGGAAAAAAAACCAAAAAUCAACAUCCAGCAGUUCCCCAGUUCCCCUAAAGCCUCCCCCAAAUUUCGGCUUCCCCGAUCCAGGCCUCCUUCUCCCCGAUGCAUCGGGGAGCCCAAUCCCUCACCCUAUCGACACGACGUCGUCCCUCCCGCCAAAACGAGCUUGCCACCACGUCCUGCCCUCCUUCUCCUUUCUCCCGCCACGAGCCGACCGGGGCCAGACGCGAGGGGCGGCCGCCAGCACAGAUGCGGGCCGCGGCCAUAGGCGGGCGCGGCGGCCAGUAUGCCGGAAAAUAAUUGUGAAGGGUGACUAGUAUGCCGGAAAAUAAAAAAAAUUGCACUGGUUACAUACCUAUUGCGAAACAUCCUUGCGUUGAAGGUACAAUUCACAGCAAAAUAGUCCUUGUGGAGACACUGAAAGCGUUUCGCAAAUUCGCGCUGAAGAGAAUGUCGUCCUGGAAGUGAACCUCAAUGGCGCGGAGCAUCCAACCUCGCCUGUUCUUCCUCGGCUAUGACUGCAACCAUCAUGAGAUCCUCAUCAUCAGACGAGGAAUCUUCGCAAAAUUGACGUGCCAAGCUUCGGCGGCGACUCAUUUUGUUGUGGAAAGAUGCAAGAGAUAUGGUGAAAACGAAGUAGAAGAGGAGGCAGAAGCAAGAUUGUGAGAGAUAUGAGAGCGAGCUGAUCAUGUAUAUAUAGAUAAAAAAAACUAGCCGUUAGAAAUCCGGCCGUUCAAAAACUAGCUGUUGGAGAGGUAGCCGUUGGGUUUCAAAUAGAACAGGUGAGAUCUGUUAGGGGAACUGCUGGAGUUGAACAAUUUUUAGGGGAGAAAAUUUUUAGGGGAGUCCCCUAUUUUGAGAUAUAAGGGAGACAUUUUAGGGGAACUGCUGGACUUGCCCUUAGAAGUUAGACUGAGUUUGACCCAUUAAUGUUCCUCGAGUCAGAUUGUGAUUUGCUUAUUGCAAUUUGACAUGCAAACUGUAAAAGGUUCAACAAGCAACGAGUUCAGAUAAUUUGGUUGUGCAAAUGCAAGCAACAUGUUCUAAUUUUGUUCUAAAUCAAUCUUCUUAAAGUUUGACCAAAUUAUAAAAAAAUAUACUAAUAUUUACAGUUUAAACUGAAACAUGCUAAAUGUAUAUAGCUUCGGAGGAGAGAGUGAUUUAGUACGUAUGCUUCUACCAGUCAGGAGGCCACCUUAUGUUGAUUGAUUUGGCUUUGCAAAAUAGAUUCGACUUUUAAUAAGAGUCACCUUUAAUGCGACAUCUAUACCACUAAGGCACCAAGAAAGGGCGGAAGCUGGGAUAGGCCACGUCGAUCCUCCCUGCAGCACGCCGCGUCGUGCUGGGCGCGCGCGAGCGAGAGAGAGCAAUUGGACUGUCCUUAUCCCGUCCAUGGGUCCUGCCAGGUUUGGUAGCCUUUGUGUCUUUGGUCGAUUUUGACAAAUAGACCUCGUGGCCGAUCUAUUUCACCGGAUGAACUUUGUUCGAAUCUAUUUCACCAGGAUAACCCUUUCGCUCAGCGCUCUACGCGCAGGCGUUAUUCUACCUGCAUUAGCGCCGCAUCGCGCUCUACGCGCAGGCGUUAUUCUACCUGCAUUAGCGCCGCAUGGUAGUGCGCUAUGUACCUGGCACCGUGGUAGUAUGAGCUAGCGUGGACUUGCUGGCAAGGAUGGGUAUGUAGCGCCUUAUGGUACGACGCAACAUAAUAACAUGUAGCGCGUCCACUUAAGGCGCUACAUAAUAACCGAGGCUUAUAUCCUUAGCCCAUCCCGAACCCUAGCUCCACUCCAUUCUUCCCCACGGACGGCGCACGAACAGACGGCGCACAUUUUCUCACCCACCUCGAGAGAUCUUCGAAUCCAAAGGCUAGGUGGGUCGAUUUUGCCCCCCCCCCUUCCCCCCCAAGCCAAGCGCAGCAAGGUACCCUCCCCCAUCCUCUUCUUUAGCUAGAUUUUUGUUGGAUUUUAGGGUGGAGGAAUCUAGGGUUUUUGUUGGUGUCCCCCAACUCUGUCCGAAUCUAUUGGACCAGGAUUUUUGUUGGUGUCAUGAAACCUUAGGGUGGCGGAAUCAAGGGUUCAGUUUGGUUUGUUGUUUUGAUGUUGACAUCCUAUGGCAGCAUAUAUGUGUUGGAUGAAUUUAAUUCUUGUAUUUCGAAAGUCAAGAUUUGAGGGACACUCUUAAUUUAGGUUAAGGUUGGAGGUGAUAACCUAGCAUUGUACAUCUUUGGAACCAUUAAGCUGAUAGUUUCUAGUCUUCAGGGCGUUGAUGAUAGUUCUCCAUUCUAAUCUUUUUAUAGAUGGCAAGAAUAGUUCAUGUUCAUUACGUGGACAAAGAGGCUUUUUUGGGAGGCAAUGAAAAGUCGGAUGUGGAGGAGAGAGACUUGGUUUUCGAUUGUAGUCCUACCUAUGGAGAGCUAUUGGAAGCUGUGCGGAUUGAGUUGGAAUGGAUGGAUCCAAGUGCUGUGGUGGAGUUGGAGAGAAGACUCAAUGUUGGGUUCGGGUCUCACCUCCGAUGGAAGACCAUGCGCAUAUCUUCCGAGCAACAAUGGGCCGCAUACAAAGAGACGGUGGCGGCAUCACAAGACAAGGCUCUUGAGUUAUUUGCUACAAGGAAGGUUGACGGCAGUUUUGACAUUGCAAGUCCAAUUCGAAGGCAGUCUCAAUGUCCAACAUCCGCCAGACAUGAACCAAGUUGACGGUAGCGAGCAUCUUGAGUUAUUAGCUGGAAGGAAUGUUGAUGGCAGUUUGCACAUUGUUAGUCCAGUUCGAAUGGAAUCUCACAUUCUAACAACUAGUCCUCCUCACAUGAACCAAGUUGACGACAGGGGGCCUCCGAUGCGUCAACCAGCUAGCCCGAUUACAUCAUCACAAGAGAAUGAUGAGAACUGGGCGAUGAUAGGGAUGAUAAUUUGCAUGACAAUAAUGUUGGUGAUUUGGAGGCAUACUGUUUGCACGAGGACAUGGAUCGUGACCUACCUUUUGGCUGUUCUUAUGCAGCGGAUUCGGAUGACAAUGGUCCCGAGGAAGAAGUAGAUGAGGAUGGGUUCACAACGAAAGAAGCCAAAGUUCAUGAGAAGUUGUUAGGCCGUGAUCAUCGGCUAUCAUUGUUCCGUGAUGUUAGCUUGGCGGAUGAAGCCAUUGUAGACGGUGACGACGGUAAUGCGCUUGGACCAAGACCCAUUUCAUACCGGGAUAUGAAUGAGGAUGACUAUGUCAUUCAGUCCGGUAUGAGGUUUCGAACUUUGUUGGAAUACAAGGUAUGGAUAAAGGAGUACUUUGUUACGUAUCAUCAUCCAUACAAGGUGAUUCAUGCCGACACCAAGCUUCGGUACGCUAUUAAAUGUGUGGAGGAUGGAUGUCCAUGGAUUGUGCGUGCAAGACCACUGAAAGGAGGGCCCGAAUGGCACAUAUCUAGUUGUUGUGCAACUCACCUUUGUACAGGAAAAAAAAAGAGAUGACAAGGAUGUGAAAAUAGAUCACCGCCAACUCACCUCCGAAUUCAUCGGCUACAAGCUUUCCAAUUCCAUCAAGUCACUACCGACAAUGUCGAUCAAGGAAGUCAUCGAACUGGUGGAUGCUCUUUUCCAUUACAAGGUGAAGUACGGGAAGGCAUGGAAGGCGAAGCAAGCCGCAUUCAAGAUGUUGUAUGGUGAUUGGGAGGAAGCAUACAACCGGCUCCCUAGGUUGUUGGGAGCGAUGCCUCAUACCAAACCGGCAUGGUUCAUGUGGUCGAGCCUUUUGGCCAAAGAACUAGAAUUUCCAACUGUGCAAAUGUCCGAGUUUUUGGCCGUGCAUUCUGAGCUUUCGAGCAAUGCAUAAGGGGUUUUCAGCACUGUGCAAAUGUGUAUUGUUCAAUACACAUUUGACAAGAUGAACGAGUAUUUCCUCAAAUAUCUCGAGGAAACAGAUAGGCAGAUUGCUGAAAAGAACAGGGCAAAAAAGAAGUACUUGUACUGUACCCACCAAAGGUGGACGCAUAGAUUACAUUUCAGACACGAAAAGCGGACUCCCAAAGCGAUGUAUGUUUUGAUAACGAUGAAUGGAUCUACCAAGUGAAUGAGCCCGGAGGUACCACAAGUGAUGGUGUGCAGCACGGAGGCCGGGCGUUCGAGGUCUCACUAAGAACAUGCGAGUGCUCCUGCAUGAGGCCCUCGUUGAUUCAUCUCGCUUGCUCGCACUUGCGCACAGCAGCACGCUUAAGACAUGUGGAUUAUAACCAUCUGCUCACCGUGAGGGAGUCAGAGGUGACUAUUGAGAAAACUAAGCUGACAUGGGAGGGCACCCAUGUCUUGACCAAUCACGGUGGCUCGAGUAUCACGGACUUCAACUUUGGCCGGAUCUAGAUCUUAAAGUUGUUUCACGUGAAAGACGCAAGACAAAGCGUUUUAGGGGUGACAUGGACGGCAGGUCUUAUGGAGGUCGGCGAGAAUGGGGCAACAACAUUUUUCAUGAGCCUAGUACUUUGGCCGUUGUGGAAAUUGCAACGGAGUGGGACACAAUACUAGAGGUUGCAGUAAGCAAUGUGGUAGAAAAAGAUCGAAAGGGAAUGAGGCAAGCACAAGCAAAGAAGUACAUAUCCAUGGAUGUGGUGGCCAGUGCUGCCAAGGCGUUAUUGCGCGACUAUAUUAAGCUUAGCGCAUCAGCCUAAGGUGUUAUUGCUGCUGAUUGCCAGUGCUGCCAAGGUCCAGUACCGAUUUCUCCUGCCGAAAUAUUCGUGUAACGCCCCACCUUAAGGCGCCAGACAACAACGUAUAGAGCAUUGUCGGUCGGCGUUAACAUGCAGUACCACUCGCACGGCUAUAUUCUUCGGACAAAGGGUUGUACCGCCGGGCUCAUCAAACUUGGAAACCCUAAAAGGACCCCUUUAUAAACACGGGCACUGCUCUUGGUCCCCAACUCCCCACCUGUCUCCUCAGAGCCGCCACUCCAUUGCACUGCCCCCCCCCCCCCACGCACCACAUUGCCGCUUGUCUCUCGGGUGCCAGCAUCCUACACCUCCACGGCAUGGAGCACUCGGCUCAACCGGCCUCCGGCACGCCUUCGCCGCCCGUCGAGGUCGCUGUUGUGGUGAACCCGAAUUCACCACCUCAACUCGCCCUCGUCAACCCAAAUGCGCUGAUCCAGAAUGGCGCGCCGGUCGUGCAGGCCAUGCCGUUCCUAGCUCCGGCCAUGGUUGCGGCUCAUCAAACGCCGCUCCCAUUGCCGGACGAGGACACCCUGUACAUGCUACUCAACAUAAACGGCACACCCUUGCAGUUCAACGCCCCCGUUGGUCGCCCCACUGUGGUUUCCCUUGCUACGAUGGCUACAUGGGCGGGCCUCAACUACAGCGAAGUGGCAAGGGCUUACAAUGCGGGUACUGGUCCCUGCCUCCGUUUUGGUUCACGUGUUGCCAUCAGCGGCUCGAACCAAGUGUUGCAGGUUGGGAACGAGGCCUCUAGGGCCGUCAUUAUGCAGGAUGAUGAGCGUGUUGUCGUUGUGGGCAACCACAAUGGGAACGUCCUCUGCGUUGCUCUCAUUGGUGGACCUAUCGAUCCAGUCAGUGACACUCUUCAUGUCAUGCACAAUCUCUCCAAUGGUAGCGUCGUCAUCUUACUGCUUGGAGUUGCGGCUUCCAUUAUGUACCGCCACGCGUAAGGCUAUCAUUUAGAUGUUAUGUACUAGUACUGUUAACCCCCAUAUGUAUUUGCCUACUAGCACCACCGAACGAUUUAGAUGCAAUGUAUUAGGUAUUGAGUAGCAGUAUUAAGCACCAUAUGUAUUUGCCGUAUGCUAGGGAACACGGUAGGCUACGUGAGCACAAAAUAAAAUUUUCUACCGAUUCCGCCCGGACCAAUGCUGUAGAUAAUGGAUCACGAGAUUACCGCUAGAUGCGCAGACCCGUAGCGGAAGUAGAGUUGGUGAUGCGUGUCGAUGCUGAGUAGUCGAUCGGCCUGUUCCACCUCGCCGAUCCCACGAACACUUGCUUGGUAUUUUUCUUGAUAUCCUCCACUGCUGUUUUAAGCAUCCCUUGCAAUUCAGUGACUUUCUUUUCAAUGCCAUGCAUAUGGUAGUUCUGAACGAACUGCGCAUAGCUCGGAGGAAGAGAUGCCAGAAUUGUAUCCGUGGCCAACUCUUGGCUCAACGGAAAGCCCAGCUUCUCCAAGCUUUGCAUGUAACCAACCAACUUGAUUACAUGAGGGCUCAAGGGUUCGCCUUCCUUCAGCUUAGUCUCCAGGAAGGACCUCCAGAUAUUAAAUCUUUCAGUCCUAGCCUGAGUCUGAAACAUGCCUUUGAGAGUCUCGAUCAUACCGAAAGCCUCAACAUUCUCAAACUGUUGCUGCAGUUCGGGCUCCAUAUAGGCAAGCAUCAGACAGCUGAUCUCAAUCGACUCAUCACAUGAGCGUUGAUAGGCGUUUCUAACAGUAGCAGUGGCAUUAUCAGCCGGCGCAGCUGGAAGUGGGUUCUCUAUGACAUGUUCUUUCUUAUCGUGCUUGAGAACGAUUCUCAGGUUCCGAUACCAGUUGGUGAAGUUAGUUCCAUUUAGUUUAUCUUUCUCAAGAACAGAUCUCAAAGCAAAACUGGACAAUUGAGGUGGUGCCAUUGAUCUACAACAGAAAAAUGCAAAAAUACUAAGACAAGUAUUCAUGAAGAGUAAUUCAUAUUAAACAUUUUAAUAGAAAUAUACUCCCACUAAAACCAACAUCCCUCCGUUGAUCAUUAGUGAUUCAAGAUCCCAGAUCAACCAAUCGACAAGUGAGCUUUAGCAUCACUGCUAGCCAAUUGAAUCACUCGGUAGGCAACUCUUGCCAAUCGUAUCUCUAUACGACUCUUGUUAGUCGGUAGGCAACACUUGCCCCGGCUCCGACUGUUUUUACCUCGAGGCCCAAAACUGUUUUGAUAGCCUCGUCAAGUUAACCAAAGCUUCGCAUGUAAGUGUCCGACACGAACAUGACCAACGACAAGGAAAAAUGGUGUACCCCAAUUUCAUGAGCCCAUCACCAAAUGUACUUGACUUGUGGUGUUGCGGCUAUUGAGGAGGUAAAUAAACUUGACAUUCUUUGAGGGAUCAUUCUACUCUAAUACAAUAAUAUGCAUAGGAGUAAACAAAGCAAUAACCAUCACAUAUAAUUAAAUUAACAUGUGAAAUAGUAUGGCUUUGUUUCUUCAUGGUGAUCUCCAUCUCCAUGAACUUGUUCAUCAAGCCGCCGGGUGCUCGUCCACUACAAAUCCACACUAUGGUACUACACCUAGUAACUACUAAUAAUGAAAUUACAAGGAGGAAGAUGUCGACACGCAGGUCCUUAUACACUUAUAAAGACAGCACCUUGGCUCCAGCCUGGCUGACAAACUCAUGACACGCAGGUCAUGCAAAUAUUACACACAUGCAUAACAUACAUAUGAGCCAUACUAUGCACAUCAAUCCUGCAAAAACAAGUUAAGCGUAGAAUCCUAUUCUACCGAACAGAUGUGAACUCGCAACGACAUCUUCUGAUUUGAUCAAUCACAUUGAUCUCGUGAAUCGUAUCCGGGUUUACGUUUCACUGUUUACCCCGAUGGCGGAAAUCCGACCGGUAGGGGUAGGUUGUGUCACGACCUUCAACAUCACGAUUAUCGGAAUCAAACAUCCAUUUUCCUCGAGUACAAUGGAUCCAAUCUAUUGAGUACAAAACCGAUCUACCACUUAGAUCGACCACAAAGAUAGCAAUAGAUCACAUAUACUACUAACAACAUAACACUCAUGCACGUAAUCCGAAUCCAAAACAGACAACAUUGGCUCUGAUACUUAUGUUAGGGAACACGGUAGGCUACGCGAGCACAAAAUAAAAUUUUCUACCGAUUCCGCCCGGACCAAUGCUGUAGAUAAUGGAUCACGAGAUUACCACUAGACGCGUAGACCCGUAGUGGAUGUAGAGUCGGUGAUGUGUGUCGAUGCCGAGUAGUCGAUCGGCCUGUUCCUCCUCGCCGAUCCCACGAACAGUUCGUCCAAGCGCCGCAGGUGCAGCGCCUCCGAGGUAUCCACACGUACAGAGAGGAACUCCGUGCGGCGGACUGCUAGAUCCGAUCGCAAGGUUUGGGCGUGGAGAUGUGACGGCCGAGUCUGACUCAUGCCACAAAACUGGGAUAACCCUAACCAGGUAUGCCUCCUCCACUUAAAUAGACCUCCCUGGUGGGCUUCAACACUUGAGGCCCGUUAGGAGUCUAAGCCCGAUACGAGUUGGAUCCGAUCCAAUUCGGUCCCAUCCCUUAAGUGUUCGACCCUACAGGUUCGCGGUCAAACGGACAAAACUACGAGUCCGAACACAGGUUCCGACCCAAGUCGAUAGUCAAUAGCGGCGCCUAUCAGCACGUGCUGACUCCCGAAUAACCACAAAGUAUAUUGACGAACCAUACAAUGUUUCCACAUGCUACAUUCCUUUUGCCUCACGAUAUGUGUGUCAAGCUCAAGGCGAGUACUUGUCAUCCUUGUGUAUAGCUCGACUCUCUUCUCGAUCUCUUGAUUCAGAUUCCCAAACGGGUUAACGCUUAACCCAAGUCGCAUGGCCAUGCUUUCCGAAUCUGAUCACUCGAGAGGGCCUAGAGAUAUCUCUCCCAAAGGGAGGGGCAAAUCCCAUUUUGAUCAACCAUGACUUGCAGCAUGCUUCUCAGCAAACCCGAAAGCUACCUUUAUAACUACCCACUUAUGGAGUAGCAUUUGGUAACCCCCUAAGUAAGCCAAUUCACAUCCCAAGCUCAUGCGAUGACCUCAGGUCUAGGACCGGCAUAAACAUCGUACUUGAGACUAAAAAAUGAUAAUCAUCUCGUUGUGUCUCAGUGCGGGUCUGUCCGACUCGGCAAUCUCAUUGUCGAGUCCAAUGCUAUUAGUUGGCAACACAUUGCCCUAUGACUUGUGAAAUAUAGUCAUCAUACUGAGUCGCAUUGCUAGUCUAGGUCGUGUGUCCGCAUAACCUCAAUGACUAGGAACCAUUAGAACAACAUCAUAGAAUAUAUAGUCUCACAAACAAAUCACAUAUUUAUUGAUACAUAUCAGUGAUGAUGUUCAAGGACAAUAAUAUUAACUCAUGAAUACAUAGGAAAUAACAUCAUCACAUGAUUGCCUCUAGGGCAUAUCUCCAACACCGUAUGGCUCCAACGAACCGUUGUUGUUUGAUUAAUGUAUUAGGUAUUGUAUGUGAACCUAACCGUUAUGUAUUAUGAAGCCUUCAACUAUUAUUGCUUUCGAUGGUUUUAAUGCAUUGGAUGGUUUCUGUGCAAUUGCAACUACAAUGGCGCAUAUGGCACCUUCUGUGUUAUACCUUGUUCUAUCAUCCAGCAGUUUUCUGAAAUUGUAACGCCAUUCGGGCUUAACGCCGCGUAUACGGGCGUUAAUCCCUUACGUACAUCGCCAUGACUCUGGGCGCUAUGUUGGCUGCCACAUGAAUGAUAGCGCCUACAGGUUAGGCGCUUUGGAUAUCUCGUGUUAGCGCCCAAGCGCGUGGCGCAAAGGUAUUUAUCCUACGAAAUACUUCGACCGCUUCUAAGACCACAAUAUUCGUACAGUAAUAAUCUCAGAUUACCACAAUGCUACCUGCCACAAGAUUCAUACAUUCUUAUAAAGCAUACAAAAGCUACAAUUGUUUCUUACCAUACAUCAUACAAGACAUGCAUAUAAGUACAUAGCAUACAUGAUACAAGAAACUUAGGGUGUGUUUGGUGGCCUGACUCAACCCAGGAAAUCUCUCCACAUCCCACUUUUAAAACCUGAGAGUGUGUUUGUUAGGUCGGGUGGUCACGCAGGGGUAACCCCACCUGAUGCAAAAAAGAACCCUCAGCCUGGCCGGGUUGUGAAGUAGAAAACGAGCUUCCCAUGUGAGCCUGGCUGACUUGGCCCGAAAAAAAUCUCUCGCUCGGCCACGCGUUAGGGCACCUCGCGCACCCCUCCCACCCCGGAACGCUUCUUUCCCCCACCAACCUCCCCACCCGACCUAGCCGUUGCUCCUCCCUUCCUUGUCCCCGACCCAGCCGCCGCUCCUCCCAUCCCAAAUCCUCCCGCCGCUCCUCCCAUCCUCGUCCCUGACCCAGCCGCCGCUCCCGUCGUCCUCGUCCCCGACCUGGACUCCCGCCGACCAGGUCGACUCCCGCCGUCAUCUUCCCUGACCUCGACUCCCAGGUCAAGUCCCCUUCGACUUUGGGGUUCAAGGCCUUGGAGCAAGUACACCUUCACCUUCUGGCUCAACAAAUAAUAAAAAGAGGAAGCAGGUUCUGAGUGAUGAAGAUGCAAUUCAGGUAAACAACAUGUCUGAUGCAUUGCGUGAUGUGGCUGGUGCUAUCAAUAACACUUGCCAUACCGAAACACCUAAUUUGUGCAAAACGGUUAUGGACCUUACCAAUUUCGAUAUGGAUCAACGCUUAGCUGUUUUGGAUUAUUUGACGGAGCAUAAGGGUAAAGGCCUUAAUUUCAUGAAAAUGGAACCUGAUGUUCGUGAAGCCUCAUUCAAGCGUAUCAUAGCAAAAAAUCCUGAUCUUGUUUGACUUGUUGUGAGUUGAUGUAACUUCAAAAUCUAUAUCUUUUGUAAUGCCUAAUAUAUUAUGAUGCAGACUUGGUUAUUUGGCCGAAUUUCCUAUGUUAACUUUAAUAUAUUUUGGUGAUGUUGACAUGCUGAAUUAUGUACUGAAGUGAGCAUUGGCAAUAUAUCAUUUUGCAGUAUUUUGGUGCUGUAUAUUUGCUUAUGUUUUUUUUUCAGGGAGUACUUGCUUAUGUUUUGAAUUUAUGAUGUAAUGGAUGAAAUUUGAAUAAGUUUAUGUGGUCAUCUCACCAAGUCACAUCUUUACUCACACGCACUCUACCAAACAAAGUCUGAGUUCAACAUGCCUAAACAGACACAGCCAACCAAACAACAUCACAACUCAUCAUAUCUCAACAGAUACAGGCUGCCAAACACAUGUGAAAAUCUCAGCUCAACUUGGCUAGGGUCAGCUUGUAUGGGAUGAGAUGUGAAUUCUGGAUUGACCCGGACUGCCAAACACACCCUUAUGGACGAACUACGACCUUUUCGCACAAAUGGAGAACAAAACAGCAGCCAACGUGAGUGCCACACUGCAAGAAGCCACUGCAAAAUCUCUAACUUCGACAUCCUUCUUCCUCCUUUCGUCGAGUUCCUUUUUCAACUCUUCCAUGUGGAUCUUUCCUUCAGCAAUCUGUGCUUCCAGAGCUUCCCUCAUCUUCAUCAUGUCAUCUACUAAUUGUUGGUUCUUCCGCUUCUGUUCAUUCAAUUGUGCUUCCAUAACUGCCAAAAGCUUCUUAACGAGAACACCCCCAGAAUGAAGUCCACUGCCCAGUACAUUUGCAUCAUCUAGCCCAUGCUCGAACAAUACAUCUCGGUCCCGGAUACCUAGGUUGAACUACACGAGCAGAUGUAACCGACGAAAGUGAGUAUUCCCGAAUUAACAAGGAGGUUCCCGAAUUGGAGUAUUUACCUCGUCUAUGGAUUUGCUCGUGCCAUCAACCGAAUCCCUAAGCCAUUGCAUCAUUGAAGGUGCCCCUUCGUCGGAGAAAUCAAUACGUUUCAUCUUGUACGCAAGGGUUAGAGGGGAAGGACAAAAUCUUCCGGCAGCGAUAGGAGAGAUGGGGGGCGGGGGCGGCGAGAGGAGAGAUGGGGAACUAGGUCACGGGGAAGUGCAGCUCCUGGCCAACGCUUAAAGUAUUUUUGUCACUUUAGCAGGAAACCCCUUGUGCAGUGCAUAACAUAUUUAGCGCCGUGCUGGUCGGCGCUAUACAACCUUAUGACGCGCCCUGUCAAUCGGCGCUAAACUCAAUCCUGCAGCGCCCUGUCGGUCGGCUCUAAACUUAGUCCUGCAACGCCCUGUCGGUCGGCGCUAAACUAACCAGUAUAUAUGGCCAAGCCACAAAAGAAACCGGUAACACAUUCUCCUCACUACGCCUUCGUCCACACACCCAUCCUCUCCACCCACAAGCCGGGGGAACCCUAGAUCCGUCUGGUGGAAUGGCGUGGCCGCACAUCCCAAGUAGCCGUGCUUUCCCACAAGAAGUGAUGCGCCGGGGGGACCCCGAGCUGCGGCUAGAGGAGGCGUGCAUCGUCAUCUCUAGGACUCCGGAAAUGGAAGAAAUGGAGAAGAUGCUUGUCGAUCGCGUGCUUCUGGUGACAAUCCUUCCAGGAGUUGAGAACCCGCCUCGUAGGGUGACGAUCCGCAAUGUCAUUGACACAAUCAUGUCGAAGUGUGGAAUCGAGGAUGGAAUUAGUUGCAAAUUAAGUAGCCCCCCAGCUCACUACCUUUUUCGAUUCAAUCGUCCUGAAGAUUGCACGGCUGCAUUGAAUCAGUCCAUGCAAAUGGAGGUUAAUGGGUGCACUAUUAAGUUUGCUCGCUGGAAACGUUCUUACCGUGGCGAAGAGGCGUUGCUCCCAUUCAGCACUGUCGUGUCCCUUGAUGGGUUUCCUGAAGAUGGGUACGAGAGAGGAUUUGUGCAGAAGAUUGUGAACGAGCUGGGCGGCGAGUUCAUCGAGCACCUAACCCCUGUGGACCUUCGUUGCGUCAAGCUGAAAGCAUGGAUUCGUAAUCCUUGGAAGCUUCCUAAGAAGCUAAGACUCGAGGUGCCAGAACCAUUUCGGUUCACAAUUCCUGACGAUGAUGAUGAGCUAGGCAUCGAGCAGUCUUUCGAAGUUCCAGGAACUGCACUGUCAAGGUGUACUUUCAUUUUGAUGUUAUUGUGCACCUUCAUGAGGUUGUCGAUCCAUAUCCAUUGUUAACAGAUGGACCUUUAGUGACCCGUGUCAGUAGCAGUGAUGAUUCAGGCUCGGAUGAUGGCAUGUUUGAUUCACCUCAAGGUGUAGGUCAUGUUAAUCGGGUGCACGAUUGGAUUUGCUAUGCUAGCUUUGUAGAUGGAUUAGUGCCCAGAGUUGACCAGUACAAGCAUACUCGGUGCUGACCUAUUGUUGUUCUAUGCAAGUACAGCUAGUACGGUGUUCUAUUGUGCUAAGCCCUAUGUCGUGUGUUCUAAUAUGUAAGGCUGUAUCGUAAUGGUUUGUUAUGUGUCCCCUAACGUUUGUUGUAACCCGAACUAGUUUGAACCAUGUACCAGUGAAUGAGGCAUAAUGCACUUCCUUUAGUUGUAACUUGAACUUAUUUGAACCGUGUAUGCGUGAAUGAGGACUAAUGACGUUGAACCUUCUACUUUAUCUGGCCAUGCAAAACUUAUUUGAAACAUGUAUAUUUUGUUUCAUUCCAGUAUAUGGUUUUUACCUUCAACUUUUGCUGGCCAUGCAGUUAUAUGGUUCAAAACAAUGCAAAGCUGGCAUUAACGCCUUCGUGUUAGGCGCGAGAGUACUAACGCCUGGCCGUUAGGCGUUACAUAUGUGCCGGCUCAAAAUCUCUUGUAACACCUUGUCGGUCGGCGCUAAAAACAAAACCCUAUAAAUCGCUAUUUAUAAGCAUCGCGAAGUCAUCUUGUUUCCAAUUCCACCCUGUCCCCCUCCCCCCCCCCCCCCCACCCCACCCCACCCCACCCAAACGCCGCCAUUGCGACCAAGUUGAGCACGUCCACCGUCUUGUGCAUGCUAUGGAGCAUGCGACUCUAGUUGAGCUUGUGCUCGCGGACGGCCCACCCCAGCUCGCCGCGCCGGGGGUCAUUCCGACAAUCCAUGGCCUCCAUGUAAGGGUUGGUCAGGAUGCUGCGCGGCAUGGGGUUAUGGCCCCUGAUGAGCGUGUUGUCUUCGUGGGAAACCAUGAUGGUAACAUCUUCCGUCUGGCCAUCCUGGCCGACCCCAUCGGUGUUGUAGACGACCCCCCCAAUGGCGUUAACAGGGUCGCGUCUUCUCGUUAUGGAGGGGUCGUGCUAUUCCUCCUCGGAGCUGCGGCUUGCGUCUGGCUACACCGCCGCAACUAGGUCGAGAUGCGAGGAAUAAAGGUAAAUGUAAUGGGUGUGCGAUGUGUAAUGGAUUGUAAUGUAUGUAUGCGUCUUAAUGGAUGUGUAAUGUGUAAUGGAUUGUAAUGUAUGUGUUAUUUGUAAUGGAUGUGAAUGUGUAAUGGAUGUGUAAUGGAAUGCAGUGGAUGUGUAAUGGAAAUGUAAUGCCUUUCUUAGCAAUAAUGUUUCAUAGAGAGGAAAAACUUGUGAGCAAAUAACUGACGUAAGGAGAAAUCCAAACGUAUGGCGCCUCACGCGUAGGCGUUAACGUAGCGUCAAGGGGCCUUGCGCGCCUUAGUCGCGGGCGCUAGCCGUAUGGCUACUCACUGGCAUGAAACUUAAAAGGCAGAACCAAUAACUGGAAAUUUGACCAAGACACAUUUAUGGAAUUUUAUGAAAAGGACGGGGCCAAAGUUGACAUUUAAGCCGCGUAAUUAGAUGCCAUAAAUUGUGUCAGAAGUCAAGUUUAUAUAAUGCUUAGCUACGGAUAUUACACCUCCAUAAUAUGUUUGUAUGAUGCUUAUGACAUUACAGCUCCAUAAAGGUAAUCUACUUUGUCCUUGUCUUUGUUGCCCCUCUGGCCCUCUUUGCAACGGCCUUCCGCCUUGCCGGCUGUUCUACCUCCACGUCAUCUUCCUCCUCAGCGUCAUCUUCGUCAUCAGCGGUCAAAUCCAAUAUAGCCUUCCUCCUCUUCUCGUAAUCUGAAGGGGUGUAACGCCUGAAGGACCUCCUAGGCUUCAGUUUAAUCGCCGAGCGUUGCCAUUCCCCUAACGCCGUGUCAUCGUCCGCUACCUAAGAACAACCAAUAUGGAUUAAUUCGAUACUUUUGGAAAAGCUGCAUCGUACACAUGGUGUCAUACCUCCAUCGACAGGUCAUCUUGUAGCGCAACCGUCGAGGAUUCUGUGUGCUCGCUAUCAUUAUUGGGAGAAGCUGACCUUGACGAUGAGAGGAUUCUGUGUGCUCGCUAUCAUUAUUGGGAGAAGCUGACCUUGACGGUGAGACAAAUUCUGGGUCACGACAGCCCAUAAGGUUGGCUAACCGCCGUAGCUGUUGGCCUUGUCACUGUACAUCAUAUGCUUGUUGUUAAUACAAAGGGGAGUACUUUUUCUUCUAUGGACAGUGGAGGAAAUUGAUACGACCAUGUGUAAUUACCUUCACAAACUCCCUAAGUGCAGUAUUCUCGCCCUCCUGUCCCCUAGUUGUGCUUUCUAAAAUGGACUCGAAGUCAUCUGCUUCCUUCCUGACCUCGUCACGCUGUGAACGGUACAAGGUUACAAAAGUACAAGUGGCAGCAAGGGUAAUAUGAACAAAGAAGCUUAGAAAUUACCACAAAGUUGAGCACAGGAGCAAAAUAUGUUUGCCUCCCCUGCUUCAAAAGCCUUGUGUAUUCAAGGUUGGCAACCUCAUCGAAUAUCAACGGCUGAUCCAAUAUAUCUCGGCUGUAAGCCGCCGGUGUGAUGUCCGCACAAGUGUUAUCCAGAAACCACUUGAGAUAAUUGCUAAAUGCUAGUGGGCAAUGCAAUCUUACUUUGGAGCCUUGAGCUGUCUUAGCCUUCUCAACGCAGCGGAGAUACUUUUCUACAUGCUCUUUAUGUGUGACAUCCCACUUCUGGUCCCUCUUAACCUUCUUCCUGUCAAGCCUAAACAUAUAGAUGUAGCAAACUUAUGAAGUAAUGUUAGGCAGCUAUGAACAUUCGUAGUAAGGUACAAGUGACUAUCUUACUCGUGUAGCGUGUAGCCCGUGUGCUUCCACUUGGGCGGGUGGGUUUGAAACAAUCCAAACUGUUGCAUCACACAAUGUGGCAAAUGAAAUUCAACAGCCCACAAACAUAUCAAUGGGCACCGCAUGGUCCACAGAUGGUCUUCUUCCAAGCACUUCGGAUUAAAUCGAAAUUCUCCGCAAAAUUAUCACGAGACCCGUAUGGUUCCCAUGCAACCUUCACAACAAAGCAAAACCCCGUCAAUGUUGAGUCAUAAUGGGAAUCAUGAAAAUCACAGGGAGUAAAAACCUAAUUACCUGCUCAGGGGUGAGGGUGAGGGCAUCGAACUCGUUCGUGUACUGCUUGUACAGAAUUGUUGUGUCGCUACUGCUCUCGGAAACCACAUCCCAUUUGUACGCCCAGGUAGGUCGGCGCAGGGGGUCGCCAUUAUCAUCCCAGAGAUUAUACUUCACCGACUUCGGCCGGCCUACUGGGAACCGCUCCCCGCUCCACACGGAGAGAAGCAGCAAAGGACCGCCAAUGUCGCUGUCACGACCAGUCCUGUGGCAUGCAUCGUCCAACUGCAGAUAAAUGCAUAAGGUUCAGUUAUUCAUUCAAUCGAGCAUAAAAAUGGCGCCUGUGCAGAAAAAAAACAUGUCGGUAGAGGUACGCAAGUGCCGCAGUACCCCAACUCCAAUUCGUGUCCCAAACAGUCAAUGCCUUCAGCCACAUCCAUUGGGCUGUCCUGCCACCGACGUCCGCAAAUAGGGUCCUAGUGAUGACAUACUACACAUAGACGCUGGCGUACUGCUCAACCACUUCAUCUACAGCAUCAGGGGGGCACUGCGAGAAGUUCUCCGUGAUCCAAGUAUAAGUAGCGCCGGCCGGGACUCUUAUCAUUAAUGGGGUCUUCAGACACCGAAGCCCUCCCAAUAAGAGCCGCCAUCUGCUCGCGCCAGUUUGAUGAAUCCGUGUUCAUGCACACCGGAAUCCCUCGAUGGGUAGUGCAUAGAUCAUUGAAACAUCCUGCAGCGUAACGGUCAUCUCACCGGUCCUAAGGUGGAAGGUGUGCGUCUCCGGCCUCCACCGGUCCACAAGCGCUGUGAUUGCAGCGACGUUCAUACUAGGCAUCGAUCGGGUCACGAGAUUGAUGAAGGGAAGGAGCCCCGUCCUCCAGAUGUAAGCAGUGUACCUCUCAUCGUAACGCAUGACGUUCGUUGACGCUUUGUGGCACCUAAGUUUGAGGGGUCUUAAAUCCUGCAACAAAAAACAAGCCUGUUACUAAACUUUUAAAUAAAACAUCUAUGACAACGAGUAGCAUGUGGAAAUUCAUCUCACCUCUCUUUGCUCUCGUAUGACACGUGCACGGUGAUGCUGAUCAUAAUGCUCAUCAAUAUGCUCCAUCGCAUCUAUACGUUGUGAAAAGACAAAUAAGAAGAUAAAGUAGUACUUGCUAAUGGGCCUUUCUUCAGUGAGACUAGAUUCAUAGGAUAUAUUUGUCUAUACAAUAGACAUAUACGUUGCAGGUACACAAGAUGUGAUGAAGCAUUGCAGUGCCAAAGAAUAUAAGUUUAAGUUAAUCAUGUUUGUUUCAUUAACUAACUCACAAGUAAAUUCUUUCUAAUAAUGUUUCUUUGUUUCAUUAACUAAGUCCCAAGCAAAUUCUUUCUAAUCAUGUUUGUUUCAUUAACUAAGUACAAACUAGUUUAAUUAACAUUACGAUAGCUACUAAAAAAAAUGAACUGACAUAAUUUCAGAGUUGCAUAAUUACCCACAUACAAACUCACAAACUAUAAUUCCCCACAGCAUGCAUAAGGAUCCCAAAAUGGCAAACACUUGUACUAAACAUCAAAAUCUUUAUAAUCAGACGUCCAUACGGUACCCAAAUCCAGACGUCCAUACCUACGGUUACAGGCCCACAAAUGAAGUUACAAAAUGUCCAUAUGCAAACCAAAUCUCUAAAAUCAACCAUGCUCUCAUUCGUACACAAUGUUAUCUCCCAUAACAGAAAAAUCCAUGCCAAAAAAUGGGUAAUGAAAUGGUUCUUACAAUUCAAAUUCAAUACAACUCUAUAACAACAAAGAGAUUUGAGUUGGCAGUGCCACUCUAUUCGGCCCACUUUUGAGAUGCCUAAUUGGGGUGGUAUGAACAAUCUUAUUUCCUAUAACACCAAAUUGGGUACAAGUGGAUAAACGAACGGAUGAACGAACUGCAAACCACCUAGGGUUCCCAAAUUGGGAAAAAUACCGGGUUCGAACUCAGGAAUCGGGAAUACCUGCGGGGAAGGACGAGUAGCAAAUCCGCGGCCGCGAGAUCCACGAGCCACAACGCGAGCCCUCGCGCGCCGCCGCGAUGUCCUUCCGUCGCCAACGAGGGGGAAAAUGAAAGCUAAGAACCUAGGGUUCGCAAAUUGGGGCAAAUUCUGCGGGGAAGGACGAGUAGCAAAUCCGCGGCCGCGAGAUCCACGAGCCACAACGUGAGCCCUCGCGCGCCGGCGCGAUGUUCUUCCGUCGCCAACGAGGGGGAAAAUGAAAGCUAAGAACCUAGGGUUCGCAAAUUGGGGCAAAUUGAAGGAUGCAAAUCAGGGAUCGGGUACAUUACCUGCGUGGAAGGAUCGAGGACGAAAUCCAAAGGCAACCUUGAUGAUGGGGCGCCGCCGCGAGACGACGCAACUUAGGGCAAUGGUGAUGGCGAUGCGCAAACUGACUCGGCCGCAAGUUAGGUUAAUGGGAUGAUAGCGCCCGCAUGGACGGCGCUACAUGCCCUGCCUUGUGGGCCCUUCUUUGGCCACGCUGGGCCGCGCAGCAAGCCUUGUUGUUUUAAGGGAUACUUACCUCUUCUGUCCCUUCUUUUAUGCCAUCCUAUCUAGCAGUUUCCCUUUUCCUUUUUUUUGGGUUUUCGCUGUAUGUCCAUUUUUGAAUCAUGAUGCCAGCGUUUGUAGGCUUCUAGGCAGUGUGAGUAUGUGCACAUGUGCAUAUUCAGGGGUAGCACACAGAUUAAUGAUAUUGAUGGUGAAGCAUUUGUCUGUGCCUUCUUCAUUGCAGAACUUCUCAUGCUCUCCGACGUCUCCGUGAACUCAACUUUCUGAAUAUUUCCAUAUAUUAUUAAAUCUGGUGAUAUAAUUGUAUGACAUUUAGUUCCUCUUAAAACAAAUUUUCAUGGUUCACCAUGGCACUAUGGCCUAUAGUUAGCAUUUUUACUGAAAAUUUCUCCAAAAUACAGUCGUACAGAAUCCUCAAUUUUGCGUCUGUCCAUCUGGUUAAUCCUUGGUGAUUUCUCAUGUAUGCAGAUAUUCUAAAUAGUAAUUUGCUAUCUCCUUUUUGACUGGGUGAUUUGCUACUUUUAUGCUUCAUCUGAAAUUCAACGCCUCAACUGAAAAUUUUAGCUGACAUGAGAUGUGUUAUUUUAUUUUUCAGGCUUAUGAGAAAUGCUUCCAGAACCUACACUACAUGCAGUGAUAUGAAGAACACACAAUUGCUCACGUGAUUCAGGC
RNAcentral lists this long non-coding RNA (30456 nucleotides) under Brachypodium distachyon (stiff brome). RNAcentral describes it as "long non-coding RNA (BDIS_LNC005500)". The record is from RNAcentral. Lineage: Eukaryota; Viridiplantae; Streptophyta; Magnoliopsida; Poales; Poaceae.